This is a long non-coding RNA of Tribolium castaneum (red flour beetle), 425 nucleotides long. RefSeq lists it as uncharacterized. NCBI's taxonomy places the organism in Eukaryota, Metazoa, Arthropoda, Insecta, Coleoptera, Tenebrionidae. The transcript has 2 exons. The record is from RefSeq and is a predicted model, not a curated record.
UUUUCUUAGAAUAAAACGUUAACUGACGUAUCUGCAAAAAUAAUGUAAUUUUAUUCAUCCUAUUACUGGCUACGAACGGUAUUUAUAAUAACAAUUAAUUCAGGUACUUAGCGGACACAAUAAUAUCAAUUGCCGAAAUAAAAAGGCUUGGGAGAUUAUGAUAAUCUCAUAAUCACGUAGUAAUUGAUAAGUUAUAUCACACAAAAACACACGAAAUGAAAUAAAGUAUGGAGAUUUUUACUAUUCACUUUACUUUUCCCCGGAUUUGUUAAAAUAAACGCAAAUUAUUUAACAGCAGGAGGCUGCUUAUUUAGGUCACCACAUCUCCCGCUAGCAGAUCGUGGCACAUUGAAUCUAACACCUGUGCUACAAUGGAAAUAAUCCAUGUAACCAGUUUUGGAGAAAAUAAAAGUUCAUUGAACAGA